This is a small nuclear RNA of Dipodomys ordii (Ord's kangaroo rat), 106 nucleotides long. The record is from Ensembl. Lineage: Eukaryota; Metazoa; Chordata; Mammalia; Rodentia; Heteromyidae.
CUGGUCACUUUGGCAGCACAAAUGCUAAAAAUGGAGUGAUACAAAGAAGAUUAGCAUAGUACUGUCCGAAGAUGGCAUGCAAAUUCAUGAAACAACCCUUAUUUUU